GCCAGAUUAGUGUUGUGGUUUGAGUGUUGGACUAUGACUCUGGAGAUCAGGGUUCAAAUCCCUGCUCAGUCA
RNAcentral lists this transfer RNA (72 nucleotides) under Phrynosoma platyrhinos (Desert horned lizard). RNAcentral's name for it is "tRNA-OTHER". Lineage: Eukaryota; Metazoa; Chordata; Lepidosauria; Squamata; Phrynosomatidae. The record is from RNAcentral.